RNAcentral lists this unclassified non-coding RNA (195 nucleotides) under plant metagenome. RNAcentral's name for it is "partial contains small subunit ribosomal RNA and internal transcribed spacer 1". The stretch from base 1 to 46 matches the Rfam family "Eukaryotic small subunit ribosomal RNA", at positions 1786 to 1831 of the family's 1831-position model. The record is from RNAcentral.
AAGUCGUAACAAGGUCUCCGUAGGUGAACCUGCGGAAGGAUCAUUAUUGAAAACAAGGGUGUCCAAUUUAACUUGGAACCCGAACUUCUCAAUUCUAACUUUGUGCAUCUGUAUUAUGGCGAGCAGUCUUCGGAUUGUGAGCCUUCACUUAUAAACACUAGUCUAUGAAUGUAAAAUUUUUAUAACAAAUAAAAA